This 160-nucleotide ribosomal RNA is filed under the name Corytoplectus capitatus. Its description in RNAcentral is "5.8S ribosomal RNA". The record is from RNAcentral. Lineage: Eukaryota; Viridiplantae; Streptophyta; Magnoliopsida; Lamiales; Gesneriaceae.
CGCAAGUUGCGCCCGAAGCCAUUAGGUCGAGGGCACGCCUGCCUGGGCGUCACGCAUUGCGUCGCCCCCUCCCAUCCCUCUCAUUUGCGAAAGUGGGUGGAUCUGAGGGGACGGACAUUGGCCUCCCGUGCUCUUACUGUGCGGCCGGCUUAAAUUUGAU